GGGCGUAAAGCGUGUGUAGGCGGUUCGUUAAGUCGGAUGUGAAAGCCCUGGGCUCAACCUAGGAAUUGCAUUCGAUACUGGCUGACUGGAGUGCGGUAGAGGGUAGUGGAAUUCCCGGUGUAGCAGUGAAAUGCGUAGAUAUCGGGAGGAACAUCCGUGGCGAAGGCGACUACCUGGACCAGCACUGACACUGAGGCACGAAAGCGUGGGGAGCAAACAG
This 220-nucleotide ribosomal RNA is filed under the name uncultured bacterium. RNAcentral's name for it is "partial 16S ribosomal RNA". It matches the Rfam family "Bacterial small subunit ribosomal RNA", at positions 556 to 775 of the family's 1533-position model. The record is from RNAcentral.